GAUGAACGCUGGCGGCGUGCCUAAUACAUGCAAGUCGAGCGAACAGAUGAGAAGCUUGCUUCUCUGAUGUUAGCGGCGGACGGGUGAGUAACACGUGGGUAACCUACCUAUAAGACUGGGAUAACUCCGGGAAACCGGGGCUAAUACCUGAUAAUAUUUUGAACCGCAUGGUUCAAUAGUGAAAGACGGCUUCGGCUGUCACUUAUAGAUGGACCCGCGCCGUAUUAGCUAGUUGGUAAGGUAAUGGCUUACCAAGGCAACGAUACGUAGCCGACCUGAGAGGGUGAUCGGCCACACUGGAACUGAGACACGGUCCAGACUCCUACGGGUGGCAG
RNAcentral lists this ribosomal RNA (335 nucleotides) under uncultured Bacillota bacterium. RNAcentral describes it as "bacterial SSU rRNA". It matches the Rfam family "Bacterial small subunit ribosomal RNA", at positions 28 to 351 of the family's 1533-position model. Lineage: Bacteria; Bacillati; Bacillota. The record is from RNAcentral.